AUACGGAGGGUCCGGGCGUUAUCCGGAUUUAUUGGGUUUAAAGGGAGCGCAGGCGGAGAUGCAAGCGUGACGUCAAAUUUCGGGGCUCAACCCCGUCUCGCGUCGCGAACUGCGUCCCUUGGUUGCGGGAAGGGGAGGCGGAACUCGUGGUGUAGCGGGGAAAUGCAUAGAUAUCACGAAGAACUCCGAUCGCGAAGGCAGCCUUCCGGCCCGUCAACGACGCUCAUGCUCGAAGGUGCGGGUAUCAAACAGGAUUAGAUACCCUGGUAGUCCGCACAGUAAACGAUGGACACCCGCGGUUUGGCCUAUAUGGCUGAGCCGCCAAGCGAAAGCGUUAAGUGUCCCACCUGGGGAGUACGCCGGCAACGGUGAAACUCAAAGGAAUUGACGGGG
Molecule: ribosomal RNA, 393 nt
Filed under: uncultured bacterium
Lineage: Bacteria
Description: partial 16S ribosomal RNA
Rfam family: Bacterial small subunit ribosomal RNA
Source: RNAcentral